RNAcentral lists this ribosomal RNA (253 nucleotides) under uncultured bacterium. RNAcentral describes it as "partial 16S ribosomal RNA". It matches the Rfam family "Bacterial small subunit ribosomal RNA", at positions 524 to 776 of the family's 1533-position model. The record is from RNAcentral.
GACGAACCGAGCGAACGUUAUUCGGAAUCACUGGGCUUAAAGGGCGCGUAGGCGGGCGGUCAAGUCGGAGGUGAAAGCCUGCAGCUCAACUGCAGAAGUGCCCCCGAUACUGAUCGCCUCGAGGGAGGUAGGGGCGUGCGGAACUUCCGGUGGAGCGGUGAAAUGCGUAGAUAUCGGAAGGAACACCGGUGGCGAAAGCGGCGCGCUGGACCUCUUCUGACGCUGAGGCGCGAAAGCCAGGGGAGCAAACGGG